Molecule: transfer RNA, 69 nt
Filed under: Pachydactylus vanzyli
Lineage: Eukaryota; Metazoa; Chordata; Lepidosauria; Squamata; Gekkonidae
Description: tRNA-Tyr
Source: RNAcentral
CUUGAUAGUAAGGGGUUCUCCCCUGUUUGCGGGUUUACAACCCGCCGCCUGACCCUCGGCCAUACUACC